Molecule: transfer RNA, 90 nt
Filed under: Ignavibacteriota bacterium
Lineage: Bacteria; Pseudomonadati; Ignavibacteriota
Description: Ignavibacteriae bacterium (activated sludge metagenome) tRNA-Glu
Source: RNAcentral
GUUCGUCUAGUUGGCUUAGGACGCCGCCCUCUCAAGGCGGAGAUCACGAGUUCUCCCAAAGGGACUCCUUCGGAGGAAUCCCGUACAUAA